This is a long non-coding RNA of Culex pipiens pallens (northern house mosquito), 2299 nucleotides long. RefSeq lists it as uncharacterized. NCBI's taxonomy places the organism in Eukaryota, Metazoa, Arthropoda, Insecta, Diptera, Culicidae. The transcript is spliced from 3 exons. The record is from RefSeq and is a predicted model, not a curated record.
CCGGAAUCCGGCCUCACUCAACACCCGGUCGAAUCGAACAGGUAACCAGGGACGGCAUGCUUCAUAUCACUCGGUCGUUCGCAAAAACACAAAUUUCCUGGCGGCGGUUCCUUUUUAAGCACGAUCCGAAUCCUCCACGGCCACGCUCAUCGUGACGAACCUGACCUGACCUGGAGAUGCAUGUGCCCUCGCUAAAAUACUGCAGAGGAACAAAGUAAAAAGACAGUCAUAGCCCUACGAAUGUCCUUGGAACAACGGGUGAGAUGAUUAACAAACGUGUCCUCGUUCAGAACAACCGGAACUGGUCCAGAUUCCUAGCUCAUUCAUGGCCCUGCAAGUACAUAUCCUCUUAACGACGCUGAUCGGAACAGGCUCGAGGGACUGUUAAGGCCCUACCUGGUCAUGUUCCGACCGAGAAAUAUUAACCACAUUGGACUUGCGAUGACUGGACUGGAUGUCGGAACGAAAUUGCUGUCGUUUUAAUAGUAGGCCGAUGCAGCAAGCAAGUCUGCCUCAAUGAGUUUGCAGCGAAGCCCAUCGGAGAGCAGGAACAGGCUCACUGAACAGCAAAUGCAAGUCGUGUCCCGUCCCGGCAAGGCGAUGGAACCGGUGAAGAGGUUACUAGCGCGCUUAAAACCCGGUCUGGCUCCUAUGCAUCCUCCGGCAAGAAAUGGAUGUCCAGAGAGCAGCACGGCGCAACCCCUGCAGCCAACCAGGCUAGAUGUGAACGGGGGAAACGAACCCAUUAUCUCUAACAGUCAUGCCGGAAUAGCCACGACGAUUACAACACGGUUUACGUCCUCCUCCUCCUCCUCCUCGGAGGUGGCUUAGGUGGCAGCGGAAUCAGCCUCUGAAGGACAGGUAGAAUAAUGAUCUUGAUAUAUUCCCAUCCAGCAAACGUUUCCCUCUUCCAUCUCAAUAGUUUUGGGUCGUUCGGAAGCUUCAACAUUUACCAGUAAAACGUCGGGUGGGCAUCGGUUCAAAGAGGACGAAUACGACGGAUACUUGCAUGAACCGAAAACCAGAACCACAACAAAAAUUUCCUGAACCACUUCAACAACUGUUAACGACAACGACAGAGCGGGAACGACGAAGUCAAGAAUGAGUACGAAGAGUUCAAUCUGAUAUUGGUCAACCAAAACGCAGCGGCAACGCUGGCAACGCCGCCGGUAUGAACGGGCCAAAUAGCAACCAAGCGGGCCCAGGCCACCAACAUCAGCAAGCUCCGACACCGCCGCAGUUCUGGCGCUGAUGCCGUUCAUGUAUCGUGGCAGCGGAGGCGCAGGUGGAAGUUCCGGAUCGCCUUCGUUGGACGGUCCACGUUCGGCGGGACUGAUUAACGAAAACCGAGGCAAUCGUGGAGUGCGAAGCAACAGUGGCGGUGGAGACGGAUACAACAGUAGCUGCGUCUCGGGUGGCAGCGGCGGUGGUACGAAUCAUCACCAAUUUCACAAAGGCAAGAGGACAAGCGCAUGGCUUGGGGUCGCGAAGUGGAACGCGAGCAGGACCGACUGGAGCGUAAAUCGUCGCAACAGAAUGGCCACGUCGGCGUCGGAUGUCGAGGACUGGUCGCCGAGACCAAGGAAUGUCUCAUGUUGCGUUGCGAGGAGUACCAGCGAUGGGAGAUGGAACGCAAACAUGCCGCUGCCAGGAAGCUGCAAAAGAUGAAGAGCAAGAAGGGUGAAGACGGAGGACCGGGGUCUUCACCGGACAAGGACGCUCUUGAGGAACAACAGAUCGAACUUCUGUGGUCGAGAACAUACUAAUAGUCGCAGCACUGCCAGCAACCAUGGUCCACCGGCCCUGUAGCAGAAGCAGUACAAUAGUAUUCCGUUUGUGCAGCAGUACGAUCCGCGGUUCAUGGGGCGAGUUCGAGGAGGGUGCAAUGCCAGUAAUUUUUCGGUUCAUGUAAUCCAAAAUUGCCACGCGGGAAGGCCAUCCCGCUAGAAAUUCCUUCGUAAAGACGCACCACGGAACAGGUUCGACGCCAUGCAAAUCCCCACGGAACGACGCAGCACGGACCAGGUUCGUCAGACGGUUCCCGCCAUGCCAUUGCCCUUGGAACGACGGGAUGAAUUGCUGCACAACGCAUACAGGUCCAGAUUAACCGUAGUCGGUCCCCGCAGGCCUGAUGGUCUCACCGGUGAAUCGAUGUGUUUGUGAUUCAAUAAACUUGUUAUUUUAUGAAAAUAAACAAAUGGAAACGAGAAAAUUACAGUUUUAAUAUCAACAAAUCAAAUGACAGAUGAAAGAAAAACAAGAAGAAGACCACAAAAAAGAGGUUGAUACGCGCCCGAUU